CAACGUUAAUUCUUACAGUCGGCAUGACGUCACAAGAUGGCCGCCACGCCCGGACUAGGGUAAAACAAUCUGUAAGAAGUUCCAAUGGCUUUGUUAUCGGAUGAAUCUGUCCACUGACAGCGAUUGAACAGAACUUACCUGGAUCCUCAAACAAUCAUAGAGCCCUUUGAGGUGGUUUCAUGGGAAGAAAGUGAUCUUAUCAGUUGGUGUCAUUGUAGCAAAUAGAACUAAAACAGAUAUGAUCUUCACAGGUGUGGUCAUUGUAUUUGUCUUUGAAAAGGGGGGCUGAAAGAAAGCUUUAAUGACAAUUUACUAGUCUGAUUUUAUUACUGAAAGUACAUGCCAUUUUGAGAAUUUGAACAAUUUUUUCUAGUAAUUUUUUAAUACCCAUGUUGCUGCAGACAGAAUUGAGAUCAUGGACAGAAU
Long non-coding RNA from Lingula anatina, 426 nucleotides. The record is from RefSeq and is a predicted model, not a curated record. NCBI's taxonomy places the organism in Eukaryota, Metazoa, Brachiopoda, Lingulata, Lingulida, Lingulidae.